RNAcentral lists this ribosomal RNA (253 nucleotides) under uncultured bacterium. Its description in RNAcentral is "partial 16S ribosomal RNA". It matches the Rfam family "Bacterial small subunit ribosomal RNA", at positions 524 to 776 of the family's 1533-position model. The record is from RNAcentral.
UACGGAGGUGGCAAGCGUUGCUCGGAAUUACUGGGCGUAAAGCGUGCGCAGGCGGUGAUGUAAGACAGUUGUGAAAUCCCCGGGCUCAACCUGGGAACUGCAUCUGUGACUGCAUCGCUGGAGUGCGGCAGAGGGGGAUGGAAUUCCGCGUGUAGCAGCGAAAUGCGUAGAUAUGCGGAGGAACACCGAUGGCGAAGGCAAUCCCCUGGGCCUGCACUGACGCUCAUGCACGAAAGCGUGGGGAGCAAACAGG